UGAAAACAGCUCUAUCACAUUAAUUUUCCAACAUGGCUACUGGACAGGUAAGCUUGCUGAAACAUUGGAUUGUACCACCAUUUAUAUAUUAUUUGUUAUAUUUUCCUCCAUUUGAAUUAUCACCUUUAUACUGCAUGGACCUACUAAGUUUUUUAGUUACAACAACUGUAUGCAUCUUGCUGCACCCUGCAUACAACAUUGUAGUCGGCAGAAAAGAAGCUGCAGAAAACUAGAGCAGCUUAAUUUAGAUAAUUUAUUGUUAACUUGUUAAGAAAGUAUCUUGCUUAUUCAGAUUUUCUUAUUUUCCAAAUUCCUAUGCAGUUCACUGCUGAGGUAGCAUUCAUUUUUGCCGAAACUCGUGCUUGCAUGUUAGCACUAAAUUAGGAUGCUCUUUCACAAUUCUGUUGCAUGGUGACAAUGGUUAGUCUUUCACCUAAUUGACUAUGACUAAGUGCUCUUGGUGUCAAUUCUUAAAAGUUCUGAAAUAUUUAUUCUGUACUUUGGAUUACUCGUAUUCCGCAUGUCUUCUAUGGGUUCUACAAACUCCAGUGCUAGCGAAUAUGCUUGGGAGCACUUUAUGUCAAUGGUUAUGGAAAAUCUGUAUAUAAUGCCAUACUGGUUUAGUGGCUGUGUUUCUUGUGAGAUUUAGCUUGUUCAAAUAUACAGAAGAUUUGGUAACACACAAAUUAUUUAAAGUGUUUUGUUAAUCCGGUGCAGGAUCCAUCAAUGUCAACAAACGGUCUUAUCUGGAAGAUAUCAUUUAGACGUGACAUGUCUACAAUUGAUGUCAUGGAUUAUUCAGUAGUUCAAAAUUCCUCUUGUGAGAUCAGUUUUGUUGGUAUUCUAGAACUUUGUAUCAUUCUUAUUUUCCCCUGAAUUUAUGGGCUCUAAGACCUCCAGUGUUAGCGAAUAUUCUGCAGAGUAUUUUCAGUGGUUACGAAAAUCUGUAGAUAAUGGCCACCAGUUUUCAGUGGUCAUGUGAAAUCCAGACUUAGUGCCCACCUUAUUUAGCGAGAAGCGUACAUGAAUAUUUCUGGCAAGACUUAGUUUUGAAAUAUGCAGAAGAUCUGGCAACACAUAGUUUUUAGCGUUGCUUUGUUAACCUGGUAUAGGUCCAUCAAUGCCAGUGAACGGAGUUACCUGGAAACAUGGAUGAUUCAAUAACUCAAUCAGAAAAUUCCUCAAUUUGUUUUGUUGGUGUCACACACAAUAAAACUUUACCUCGGAUUUACUGUCAAGCUGGCCUGGUAAAGCGUCCAGAGAAGGCAAAUAAUAUCUUUCAGGUCAAUCUGGAGACUAAAUUUACUUGCAGCUCAGGCAUUGCAAGAACACCAACACAUGAAGUUGCAUCUACUGACGCAAACUUGUUAAUUGUGGGAAGAUCAAGGAGUACAUAUGACAUAUAACAGAUCCCUCCGAGGUGCAAACUACUGCUGUGUGUAUCCUCCAAACAACUGAUCUCAGUGAGUGCUAGGCUGUCACAAAGUAGUACUCAAUUUCACAGUUGUGACCAUUUUAGGAAUCCAUUUGAGGUGCAAACUACUGCUCCAUGAAUGUUACAAAUAACUGAUCAGUAACUGCCUAAUGAGGGCUCCUUUGAUUCAUAGGAUUUGUAAAGGAAUUGUGUAGGAUUUGGAUCCUAUGGGAAAUUUUCCUAUACAAGUUGUUUGAUUUAUAGGAACACAUCCUAUAGGCAAUAAUCCUAUAGGAAUCUUGUAGUGCAAUUCCUAUAGGAAAA
Long non-coding RNA from Lolium perenne, 1738 nucleotides. RefSeq lists it as uncharacterized. The record is from RefSeq and is a predicted model, not a curated record. Lineage: Eukaryota; Viridiplantae; Streptophyta; Magnoliopsida; Poales; Poaceae.